CGAGGAGUUGGAACCUGCUGCUUUCCGAGCUCCCAGUAUCUGCACCACGGAGCUUCUCCUCCCCAGUGACAGUCUCUAGAGAGGUAAAUCAGCUCUUGUAAUGUUGCACCUCCUUCCAGUUACAGGUAGAAAAUGACUUUUUGUAUUUCUAUGUAAGAAAAAUCCAAAGUAAUUAGAAAAUCUCUCCAAUUUCAUGUUCGAUUUAUUGAAUUAGGCUACAUGGGAAAUUGUCUGAGCCCCGCUCACUGGCACAGCAAGUGUCUUGUAUCUGUGCCCACACUGAGAAUGUAUUUUGCAGGAAAUCCUUUGACAGCUGAGUCUGCUUUCUGGUGCUUGAUGCCUAAUACGUGUGUUCCUUAAGACGGAUCCAACUUUUAAGAAGAUAGGAAGCAAAAGGAGCCAGCUGAACACCUUGCUCUAGGAUUCAGACAGGAGGAAACAAACAACAGAUCUCUUGGUUGAAUUUUCCUUAGUUUCUGCCUGAUCUCCACACUACCUGUGAAGCGUGGGCCAGGCUCUGUUCUUGGAAAUGCUUCACGCAGAAGUCUUGGCGAUGAAGGAGGUCACAGCUUUUGUUUCCUUAGAGGACACCAUUAAGGCAUCAGAGAUUUGAAAUAGUUUUUGAAUUAUUACUGUCAGGAGAGGAAGCUUUUGUAGCUCUUCUCAGACCUGGAGGACGCAGGCCUCUGCUGGGUGUUGUUCACAGCUGUUUUUAGUAGCACCGAGAAGCUAACAGGGCAGCAGUUGGAAUGGCAGUGAAAAGCUCUCACUUCACGGGUGGCUGGGGCUGGGUGUCCGGGCAGCACCGGGAUGGGGCAGAGUCACCCCCAGCUCUGCCUGUCGUGCAGGGCCUCCCAGAAGUCGCGGUGGUUCAUCGAGCCUCACAGACCUGCAGACCAGGGCCAGGUUCCACCCAGUGUCUGUGGAAGAUACCUGUCAUUUAUUCAUUUCUCCAGUUGCAGAAUACGGAGAUCUUUCUAAGGCAGCUGUUCGGUGUCCAAAGCUGAGUUCUGGGUUUCUGUUAGUGUUUGCCAUAUUUCUUCUGCCUGCUCCAGAUUUCUCCUAAUUGAGUCAGCGCUGGCUUCGCUACAUUUUAUUAUGCUCAUUUAUUGCAACUACUACCUAUCAAAUUAAUUGCGGUGUUUUGACAGGCCCAAUUUACCUUCCCGUUACAGCCGCUACUGCUGUCGAUGAAGCGCGGCUGCAUGGGUGAGCAGGCUCUAUUUAAAAGCCUGUCCUGCUUCCAGCCUUCCCCAGAGUGAGUUGUCACCACCCGUAGGGCCUUGGUGACCACGUAGGGCAGGAACAAGACAGGAGGGAGGAGUGGUUAAAAUGUGGCUGAUGGGUCUCAGGCCAGGAGUAGCUUCUCCUGAAGCAGUACAGAGGUACCUGCCUCACGGGGGCUUUGUGCUGAGAAGGUCCUGGGGCUUGCUGACACAGGGCAGGUCAAAAAUACACUGCAAGGAUCCCACUAGGCCAGCCAGGGUUUCAGCAUCGUCUUUAACAAGGAAAUGGCCACAGGCUGUUUUUAAAUUUGUCAGGCGUCUCCACUUAAGACAGCGGCUGGUGCUCAGUGUCAGGCUCUCCUGUCCCCAGAUUUCAGGCAGGUAACACGUCGGUUCUGUCGGAACAGUCAAACCCAACCAAAAGCCACAUCAGCUUUCACUCUAAAGAGACAACUGUGCGUUGUGGAAGAGCUGUGCCCCGCGGAGCAGGUCGGGAUUGCCGGGGUCUGGCUGAGGACUGAGGCACGGGGUUUUCCUCUGGUCCGCCAGGAGAACCAGCCACCUGGAGCGUUCAGCAGUGGUGGGAGCUGGAGCGGAUUUGUUCCAGUGCUGCCAGUGCCCAUCCUCGUCUCUCCUUCGGGCUGCAAGUGAACUUGAGUGCUGCUCCAUCCUCUGUUUCACUCUGCUUCCUCAGCUCGUUAGGUGCAGAAAUACAAGCUCGUUUGCCUGCUGCCAUCAUCUCCGUGAUCACUUUCUUCCUUUGUCUCAUUGUUUUGCUCUCAGGGACAGAUUCCUCUUAAACACAUCUAUAUAUUUGCAUCCGUCUUUAAGGUAACUCAGUGUUUGUGUUUCCCCUAGGUGCUGUAGAAAUACGUGUCCUCCCCUCAGCCUGUGUGGUUUGUGCAGUAGUGAGAGCGUUUGGCUCCAUCCUUCCUUCCUGUAGGAGCAAUUUGACUGCGGUCGUUGUGUGUGUGUGACACUAAUGCUUGUGUGUACUUUUUCUUAGCGCUAUCUGUCGUUCUUUGGUGUCUCCUCCUCCUUUCGGGAGGGAGGGGUGAAAGAAGCAGGAAUCGGUUGGGUCUGAGCAGUCCUGCUCAAACCAUACCAGGAAGGAUUUGGGAAAGGCUGAGACUGAACCGUGGAGUUCGGGCUCAGGCUGAAUAGCUGGUGGUUUAGUGGAGGUGCUCUGCAGCUCCCCUGCGCUUCUCCCUGUGACAGCUCUGGGCCGACCAAAACCACUCGUUCUGUGACCAGCCGCCCAGCCUCAGCCAGGGCUUCUUACAAGAUCACUUUUCAGACCAGUGACAGAGACCUUUCUAUUAGCAGCCCAUCCAAUUAACUCUGUUAAAUAGCAAAGUGCCCUUCAACGUGAACUACAACAAACCAUU
Oxyura jamaicensis (ruddy duck) is the source of this 2614-nucleotide long non-coding RNA. RefSeq lists it as uncharacterized. NCBI's taxonomy places the organism in Eukaryota, Metazoa, Chordata, Aves, Anseriformes, Anatidae. The record is from RefSeq and is a predicted model, not a curated record. The transcript has 2 exons.